CAGUAGCGUAUAUUAAAGUUGUUGCAGUUAAAAAGCUCGUAGUUGGAUUUGUGGCGUACGACGGGCUCCGGGCACUUGUUGUCUGAGUAGCUUGUCGUUGCCAUCCUUGGGUGGAACCUGUGUGGCAUUAGGUUGUCGUGCAGGGGAUGCCCAUCUUUUACUGUGAAAAAAUUAGAGUGUUCAAAGCAGGCUUAUGCCGUUGAAUAUAUUAGCAUGGAAUAAUAAGAUAGGACUUUGUCGCUAUUUUGUUGGUUUGCGCGAUAAGGUAAUGAUUAAUAGGGACAGUUGGGGGUAUUCGUAUUCCAUUGUCAGAGGUGAAAUUCUUGGAUUUUUGGAAGACGAACUACUGCGAAAGCAUUUACCAAGGAUGUUUUCAUUA
This 379-nucleotide ribosomal RNA is filed under the name uncultured eukaryote. RNAcentral's name for it is "partial 18S ribosomal RNA". It matches the Rfam family "Eukaryotic small subunit ribosomal RNA", at positions 592 to 975 of the family's 1831-position model. The record is from RNAcentral.